Molecule: ribosomal RNA, 489 nt
Filed under: uncultured bacterium
Lineage: Bacteria
Description: partial 16S ribosomal RNA
Rfam family: Bacterial small subunit ribosomal RNA
Source: RNAcentral
AUUGAACGCUGGCGGCAUGCUUUACACAUGCAAGUCGAACGGCAGCGGGGUAGUGCUUGCACUACUGCCGGCGAGUGGCGAACGGGUGAGUAAUAUAUCGGAACGUACCGAGUAAUGGGGGAUAACCAAUCGAAAGAUUGGCUAAUACCGCAUACGUCCUGAGGGAGAAAGCGGGGGAUCGCAAGACCUCGCGUUAUUCGAGCGGCCGAUAACUGAUUAGCUAGUUGGUGGGGUAAAGGCCUACCAAGGCGACGAUCAGUAGCGGGUCUGAGAGGACGAUCCGCCACACUGGGACUGAGACACGGCCCAGACUCCUACGGGAGGCAGCAGUGGGGAAUUUUGGACAAUGGGGGCAACCCUGAUCCAGCCAUGCCGCGUGUAUGAAGAAGGCCUUCGGGUUGUAAAGUACUUUUGUUAGGGAAGAAAAGGGAAGUGCUAAUACCACUUUUUGCUGACGGUACCUAAAGAAUAAGCACCGGCUAACUACGU